GUCCUUUUGAUUAUAAUAUAAGGUCUAACCUGCCCACUGAUUUUUUAAAGGGCCGCAGUAUACUGACUGUGCAAAGGUAGCAUAAUAAUUAGUUUCUUAAUUAGAAGCUUGUAUGAAUGGUUGAACGAGAAAUUAGCUGUCUCUAUUUAUAAGUUAAAAUUUUAUUUUUAAGUUAAAAAGCUUAAAUUUAUUUAAAAGACGAGAAGACCCUAUAGAGUUUAAUAUUUAUUAAAAUUUUAAAUUUAGAAUUAUUAUCUAUUUUAAUUAUUAUUUUAUUGGGGUGAUAUAUAAAUUUAAAUAACUUUAUAUUUUUAUUAACAUAAAUUAAUGAAUUUUUGAUCCAUAAUUAAUGAUUAAAAGAAAAAAUUACCUUAGGGAUAACAGCGUAAUUUUUUUUUAGAGUUCUAAUCGAAAAAAAAGAUUGCGACCUCGAUGUUGGAUUAAAGUUAAUUUUUGGUGUAGAAGCUAAAAUAUUAGGUCUGUUCGACCUUUAAAACUUUACAUGAUCUGAGUUCAGACCGG
This 522-nucleotide ribosomal RNA is filed under the name Hydraena albai. Its description in RNAcentral is "partial 16S ribosomal RNA". It matches the Rfam family "Bacterial large subunit ribosomal RNA", at positions 1819 to 2619 of the family's 2925-position model. Lineage: Eukaryota; Metazoa; Arthropoda; Insecta; Coleoptera; Hydraenidae. The record is from RNAcentral.